This 207-nucleotide ribosomal RNA is filed under the name uncultured bacterium. RNAcentral's name for it is "partial 16S ribosomal RNA". It matches the Rfam family "Bacterial small subunit ribosomal RNA", at positions 568 to 774 of the family's 1533-position model. The record is from RNAcentral.
CGCGUAGGCGGUUUGGUCAGUUGGAUGUGAAAGCCCAGGGCCUAACCUUGGAAUUGCAUUCAAUACUGCCAGGCUAGAGUACGGUAGAGGGGGGUAGAAUUCCACGUGUAGCGGUGAAAUGCGUAGAGAUGUGGAGGAAUACCAGUGGCGAAGGCGGCCCCCUGGAUCGAUACUGACGCUGAGGUGCGAAAGCGUGGGGAGCAAACA